This 75-nucleotide transfer RNA is filed under the name Marmota monax (woodchuck). Its description in RNAcentral is "tRNA.Ala". The record is from RNAcentral. Lineage: Eukaryota; Metazoa; Chordata; Mammalia; Rodentia; Sciuridae.
UUUGGGGAUAGCUCAGUGGUAGAGCACUUGCCUUGCAUGAGUGAGGCCCUGGGUUUGAUGCCCAGCACCUCAAAA